This 253-nucleotide ribosomal RNA is filed under the name uncultured bacterium. RNAcentral's name for it is "partial 16S ribosomal RNA". It matches the Rfam family "Bacterial small subunit ribosomal RNA", at positions 524 to 776 of the family's 1533-position model. The record is from RNAcentral.
UACGAAGGGGGCUAGCGUUGCCCGGAAUCACUGGGCGUAAAGCGCACGUAGGCGGCUUCUUAAGUCAGGGGUGAAAUCCUGGGGCUCAACCCCAGAACUGCCCUUGAUACUGAGGAGCUUGAGUCCGGGAGGGGUGAGGGGAACUCCGAGUGUAGAGGUGAAAUUCGUAGAUAUUCGGAAGAACACCGGUGGCGAAGGCGGCUCACUGGCCCGGUACUGACGCUGAGGUGCGAAAGCGUGGGGAGCAAACAGG